This 1067-nucleotide long non-coding RNA is filed under the name Homo sapiens (human). RNAcentral's name for it is "HSALNT0264176". Lineage: Eukaryota; Metazoa; Chordata; Mammalia; Primates; Hominidae. The record is from RNAcentral.
CAAACAUAGUGUUUGUACCACUUCCAGCUGAAGUACAAAACAUGUAAAUCCCUCAAGGAAUGGAAAAAACAAUGCUCCUAAAGAUGUCAGAAAGACAUCAAUUCAAAAUUCUGCUAUGACGUAAUGAUACCUUCCAGGGAUGCUUUAAAAUCAUGCUUUAAAACCCUGAAGUGUAUCCAGUGACACUCAGCUGGAUGCCAUCAUGCUUGCAAAUGCAUACAAAGGCCCUUGAGUAUUUACUGGGCUAUGGGCUACUCUGAUGCCUCCUCUACACUCAGGGCCAUCCCAUUGGCCUUGCAACAAUUAAGAAUGAGGAAGAUCUGUAUCCAGAAAAGGGAGCCCUGGAGAACAGAAAGGAAGAAUGGUCUAGAAGAGCAUUGUGGAGUGGUUCUCUCAUCUUCUCAGGGAAUGUAAAUGGAAAGGCUAGAGCUACAGAGGCAUCUCGAUCUAUGAGAAAAAGGCCACGAGAAUCAUAGGGGCCUCACUCAGCCUUGUUAUCCCUGAGCUCCUGAAUCAGUGCCAGAAACCACCUGUGGAGUCCUAAUAAGAUAACUCCUUUUAGAAGAAAAUUCAAGAUCUGGCAACACUGUGCCCAAGCUUCUCUAAGGAAGAGAUUGUCAAAGUGUGGUGCCUGGACCAGCAGCAUUAGCAUCACCUGGGACCAGUUAGAAAUGAAGAUGCUCAGGCUCCAUCCCAGACCUGCUGGGGCUGGGGCCCAACAAUCUGUGUUUUAACAGGCUCCCUGUGUGACUGUGAUACGUGAUGCUCCAAGGUAAUUGGCCACUGAAGAAAGUAAAGACUGUUCUACACCUAAGAAGCAAGGACUCAAUUACAGCAUGUGUUACUGCAUUAUAUCAUUUAAAAUAUUCAAAAUUAAUGGAAGGAAUAAACACAGGCUAAAGGAUGAUUUAAAAAAAGAGUUAAAUGCUGGUUUGAAUCCUUACUUUUUAAUACCACUUUUUAAAAAGGUUAUUUUAUUUGCAUGCCAAGUAUCUACAAAAUAAAACAUCUCUUCAUGACCUUUAGAUUUUAUUUUUGAUACCAGAAACAUUUUUCGUGCAGAAGAU